CGGCAUAGAGCGGUGGAGCUAUUAGCUCCGCGCUGCAGACAUCAUUAGGAGUGGAGGGAGACAAUUCCACCGUCAGCGCAGGAACAGGAAGCCCUGGCAACAAGGAGAACACCGCUCUUACCAGACCAUUACACCGUACAAGCCCCAUGUCCUGGGUAGAGAGCCCAGCCCCAGAGGUAGCUAUGUCCUGGGGAGAGAGCCCAGCCCCGGAGGUAGCUAUGUCCUGGGGAGAGAGCCCAGCCCCGGAGGUAGCCAUGUCCUGGAGAGAGAGCCCAGCCCCGGAGGUAGCCAUGUCCUGGGGAGAGAGCCCAGCCCCGGAGGUAGCCAUGUCCUGGAGAGAGAGCCCAGCCCCGGAGGUAGCCAUGUCCUGGUGAGAGAUCCCAACCCCGGAGGUAGCCAUGUCCUGGAGAGAGAGCCCAACCCUGGAGGUAGCUAUGUCCUGGGGAGAGAGCCCAGCCCCGGAGGUAGCUAUGUCCUGGGGAGAGAGCCCAGCCCCGGAGCUAGCUAUGUCCUGGGGAGAGAGCCCAGCCCUGGAGGUAGCUAUGUCCUGGGGAGAGAGCCCAGCCCCGGAGGUAACCAUGUCCUUGGGAGGUAGCUAUGUCCUGGGGAGAGAGCCCAACCCCGGAGGUAACCAUGUCCUUAGGAGGUAGCUAUGUCCUGGGGAGGUAGCUAUGUCCUGGGGAGGUAGCUAUGUCCUGGGGAGGUAGCUAUGUCCUGGGGAGGUAGCUAUGUCCUGGGGAGAGAGCCCAACCCCUGAGGUAACCAUGUCCUUGGGAGGUAGCUAUGUCCUGGGGAGGUAGCUAUGUCGUUGGGAGGUAGCUAUGUCCUGGGGAGGUAGCUAUGUCCUGGGGAGGUAGCUAUGUCCUGGGGAGGUAGCUAUGUCCUGGGGAGAGAGCCCAGCCCCGGAGGUAGCUAUGUCCUGGGGAGAGAGCCCAGCCCCAGAGCUAGCUAUGUCCUGGGGAGGUAGCUAUGUCCUGGGGAGGUAGCUAUGUCCUGGGGAGGUAGCUAUGUCCUGGGGAGGUAGCUAUGUCCUGGGGAGGGAGCCCAACCCCGGAGGUAACAUGUCCUUGGGAGGUAGCUAUGUCCUGGGGAGGUAGCUAUGUCCUGGGGAGGUAGCUAUGUCCUGGGGAGGGAGCUAUGUCCUGGGGAGGUAGCUAUGUCCUGGGGAGGUAGCUAUGUCCUGGGGAGGUAGCUAUGUUCUGGGGAGGUAGCUAUGUCCUGGGGAGGUAGCUAUGUCCUGGGGAGGGAGCCCAGCCCCGGAGGUAGCUAUGUCCUGGGGAGGUAGCUAUGUCCUGGGGAGGUAGCUAUGUCCUGGGGAGGUAGCUAUGUCCUGGGGAGAGAGCCCAACCCCGGAGGUAACCAUGUCCUUGGGAGGUAGCUAUGUCCUGGGGAGGGAGCUAUAUCCUGGGGAGGUACUGUAGCUAUGUCCUGGGGAGGUAGCUAUGUCCUGGGGAGGUAGCUAUGUCCUGGGGAGGUAGCUAUGUCCUGGGGAGCCCAGCCCCAGGAGAGAAGAGGGGGGGCAACAGAGAGAGAGAGAAACAGAGAGAGAAAAAGGGAGAGUAAGAUGGAAAGAAACCACCUAAAAGGAAGCGAUUCCCAACUCUUCCAUAUCAAAGCCAUCACCUAAAGAGAGAUGAACCUGGAGAAGAGCCCCCUAAGCAAGCUGGUCCUGGGGCUCUGUUCACAAACACAAACAGACACCACAGAGCCCCAGGACAGCAGCACAAUUAGACCUAACCAAAUCAUGAGACAACAAAAAGAUAAUUACUUGACACAUUGGAAAGAAUUAACAAAAAACAGAGCAAACUAGAAUGUUAUUUGGUCCUAAACAGAGAAUACACAGUGGCAGAAUACCUGACCACUGUGUCUGACCCUAAACAGAGAGUACACAGUGGCAGAAUACCUGACCACUGUGACUGACUCAAAAUUAAGGACAGCUUUGACUAUGUACAGACUCAGUGAGCAUAGCCUUGCUAUUGAGAAAGGCCGCCGUAGGCAGACCUGGCUCUCAGGAGAAGACAGGCUAUGCGCUCACUGCCCACGAAAUGAGUUGGAAACUGAGCUGCACUUCCUAACCUCCUGCCAAAUGUAUGACCAUAUUAGAGACACAUAUUGCUCAGAUUACACAGACACACAAAGAAUUCGAAAACAAAUCCAAUUUUGAUAAACUCCGAUAUCUAUUGGAUGAAAUACCACAGUGUCUCAUCACAGCAGCAAUACUUGUGAACUGUUGUUACAAGAAAAGGGCAACCAGUGAAGAACAACCAUUGUAAAUACAACCCAUGUUUGUGCUUAUUUAUUUUCCCUUUUGUACUUUAACUAUUGGCACAUCAUUACAGCACUGUAUAUAUACAAGAUAUGAUAUUUUUUUUGUGAGUGUAAUGUUUACUGUUCAUUUUUUAUUGUUUAUUUCACUUGUGUUAAUGAUCUAUUUCACUUGCUUUGGCAAUGUUAACAUGUGUUUCUC
Oncorhynchus tshawytscha (Chinook salmon) is the source of this 2467-nucleotide long non-coding RNA. NCBI's taxonomy places the organism in Eukaryota, Metazoa, Chordata, Actinopteri, Salmoniformes, Salmonidae. The record is from Ensembl.